Long non-coding RNA from Cyprinus carpio carpio, 1321 nucleotides. NCBI's taxonomy places the organism in Eukaryota, Metazoa, Chordata, Actinopteri, Cypriniformes, Cyprinidae. The record is from Ensembl.
CAGUUGGAAGCAAUACAGUACCACUUAAAUAAAAACAUAUGCUUCAGAGACUUCAGCGAUGCGCUAGAUUUCAUCAUUUAUAACGAAAAGGUCAGUUGCACACUCAAUGUGCAUGUCACAUCUUAACACUAUAUUAGUAUAGUAAACUUAUAGUUAUACAAGCCAAGGUUGCAUUCUUAAAUGAAUAGUUCACCCAAAAUGAAAAAAAAAAAAAAAAUGAUUAUGGCAUUUUAAAACAUUUUUCAGAUUUGAAAGCAAUAUUUUGGAUUGAGAUCUCAUGGAUAUGGCUUUUAUUAUUCUCAAUCCAAUAUUUUUGGAUUGAGGUCUCAUAUUUUAGCUGGAAGCAUCUGUUUGAAGUCACACGGAUUAUUUGUGGAUAAUGGUGAUGUUAUUAUUAGCAGCUUGGACUCUUAUUCUGACGACACCCAUUCACUACAGAGGAUCCAUUGAUGAAGGUCAUGGCAGAGCUAAAGACUGUCUAGACAGGAGGACAUCAUCCCUGUCUCAGGGGCACUGUGUCACAGACUGACAUUGUCAGCUAAUCUCUUUUGGACACAGAGAAUACAAAAAGUGUGCCACACCGAACUAGACGUGCACUGUGUAAUCCUGCAGGAAGAGGUAUGGUCCGCUUGGCACUGGAUUUCAGGAAUGAGUUAAGAUCAUAGCCAUGGAGAAUUUCCAGAGUUACAACAAUGGAACUGAAAGCCAUGCCACAACACACACACACACACACUCACUCACGCUUUCUCUAGAGAGCAAACUCAAAUCCGCCUCUGCAUCCAAUAACCCAUUAAAAUGUUUUAUGCUACUCUGAGACUGACGCUUUUAUGGGUUUUAUUGAGAGCCUCUGUUCUACAAUAAUGCUGUAAAUGAAAUGGGUCACAAAACAAUAAAUACUGACAGACUGAGACAUUUGGCUGAUGUUUUCUUCUAUUCUCUCUUGGGGGAAUUCACCAAAAAAGACAUGCAUCUGAAGUUUAUGUUGGUUUUUAUGUAAUGGUGCAAAUAGCCUAUGUUUACAAACUCUGUGCUGUUUGGACGCCUAUUUCUGCCUAAAGAAAAAAUGUCAAUGUAUAGUAAAUCAUAAUCACAAUAAUUAUAAUUAUGAUACAAUUACGAUAUGCUAUGUCAAUUAUCAGAUAAGAAGUCUAAAUUAUUACAGUCAAUUUUGAGAUAAAAAGUCUAAAUUUUGACAUAAGUCAAUUUUGAGAUAACGUUUAAAUUAUGAGUAAAAAUUGAGAUAGUCAAAAAUUAUGGAGAAUUUUGAAUUUAAUCAUGACUUACGAGAUAAGUCAUAAUGAUGAGAUGAACUGUCAUAAAC